AGCUAUGGAAGAAAACAACCGAUCAGAUUGCAGCUAGGGUUCUUGUACGAGGAAGGAAUCCAAUUGCCGGAAGGAAUGCGAUGAUGAAUUUGAGUGUUGGUACUGGUCCAAUGAGUUUACACAGCUCAAAUAACCCAGGACCUGAGGACUGAUACAAUAGUGGCAGUGGGAAAAGUGGUUCAAGGCCUCUAUACAUUGGAUCAUUCUAGUUUUUUGCCUUCAAUGAUAGCUAAAUGUUUGUCUGAAACUUCAAUUGUACCUUCCGUUGCCUCUCAAAAUGGCUCUAAUACAAAUUUGCAUUCUUGCCAACUCACUCAAUUAGAUUACUCCAUGUUACAUGCUAGAUUGGGACAUGCUUCUAUUAAUAAAAUUAGACACCUUACUGGUUUUCGUUUUCUAAUUCAGAUAUUUUAAUUUGCCCUUUAGCUAAGCUUCAUAGAUUGCCAUUUGUUGACAGUAAAUCUCAUUCUUCUUUUCCUUUUGCCUUAUUGCACAUUGAUGUGUGGAGACCCUAUAGGGUUCAAUCUGUCACAGGGGCUCAUUAUUUUUUAACUAUAAUUGAUGAUUGUAGUCGAGCCACUUGGACUUAUAUGAUGCAGUCCAAGAGUCAAACAUUUCACACAUUGAGACAAUUUAUUCAAUAUGUAGCAACUCAAUUUCAUACCUCUAUUCUAGUCAUAAGAAAUGACAAUGGUAGUGAAUUUGUUAACAAGGCUUGCAAAGAUUUUUUUUGCCAUGAAAGGUAUUGUUCAUCAGUUAACCUGUCCAUAUACUCCACAGCAAAAUGAAAUAGUGGAGAGGAAACAUCGGCACCUUUUAGACACUGCAAGGGCCUUCAAAAUUCAAGCCCAUCUUGAUACACUUGUAUUAUAUAGAUAUUUUUAAGCAUAUUUGUAUAUUAUUUCACAGCAUUUAGAUAAGUAAUCUCAUGCAUAAUCAUUAAUUUCAUCAACUUUUGUAAAUUCCAUUGUCAAACUCUAAAUUCCAUAUUUUCUGCAUCAUUUCAGGUGUUUGAAUAAAGUUCCAAGACAUAGGAGUGCAGAAGUGCUACUGAUACACUUUACACGAGUCGUGUAAGCAAUGCCACAGACCCGUGUAACCUACUGCUAGGGGAAAACUAAAAGAGCCAAGGAAAAAAACUCAGUACACGGGCCGUGUACAGAGACCCGUGUAAACCAUGGAGACCCGUGUAAGUCUCUGCCUAGCCAGGAUUAAGGAUCUCUCUGUAAAGCAAAAGAACACAGGUCGUGUAAUUGGACUCGUGUAACCAGCAAUGCCCUGUAUAAUCUUCUGUACCAAUACGAUAUGCAGUCUGCAAAGCUCUAGUAAGUUACACGGCCCUGGGCCGUGUAGUGACACACAGGCCAUGUAUUAGCCAACGACCACUUUCCUGAUUUGGCUCCAGCUCCAGUCUUGACAAAGAGAAGAGACUUUUAAUACUUCUGGAACUCUGAAAACCUAAUCCUAGGCACUGAAUAUAAAUAGAAGCAGCAGAAAGCAGAAAAGAGGGGGGAUCCAGAGCCGAACAAUAACACCUUCAUCAUUUUCUCACAACCGCCAAGAAGAGUAGUGUAUCAGUAUCAAGGAGGAGCCUUCAGCUGAAGUUCUACAAUAUCAAAGCUGCAGAUUCUUUUCAGUUCUUUUGUUCUAUUUCUUUAAGCGAACUUUUAUUGUUCUUUUAUUUUAUUUUUAUUAUGUUUGCUGAACUCAUCAUGAGUGAGUAAUUUUCAUAUUCUGGGAUUAGGAGAAUAACGCUUGUAAUCAUUAUUAUGGACAAAUAUUGAGUUUUAUUUAUUAGAUUUGAGAUUUGUUCUUUGA
Molecule: long non-coding RNA, 1818 nt
Organism: Hevea brasiliensis (rubber tree)
Lineage: Eukaryota; Viridiplantae; Streptophyta; Magnoliopsida; Malpighiales; Euphorbiaceae
Exons: 2
Source: RefSeq, a predicted model, not a curated record